ACGGAGACUUUCUGGGCUCUGGAUGGUUCGUGGGCUGCUCACCCUCGCCCACCCCUGACGCCGCGGACCGCAGCUCCUCAGCCCCGCAGCCCCGCAGCCCAGCAGCCCCGCAGCGGCGCCGAGGACAGUGCAGCCGAGUUGCGUCUCCCUCGCGCGAGGAUAGCCAUUUUCUUUGAGCAAGCACAACAAACUUUUUAAUAAAGGAAUUUUAAAGAAACAUUUAUAGCAGUUUGGAUUACCCCAAAGAAGUAAAGGGGAAAAGGUUAUCUUAGAACAUAUUCAGCCAUUGUUUGAUGUCCUGUGACUGAGAAACCAGGCUUUAAACUUUAUGCCUUUGGAGAUGGAGCCCAAGAUGAGCAAACUGGCCUUUGGCUGUCAGAGAAGUUCCACAUCAGAUGAUGACUCUGGCUGUGCAUUGGAGGAGUACGCCUGGGUCCCCCCGGGCCUGAGACCAGAGCAGAUCCAGCUCUAUUUUGCUUGCUUACCAGAGGAAAAAGUUCCUUACGUUAACAGCCCCGGAGAGAAGCAUCGGAUUAAACAGCUUUUGUACCAGUUACCACCACAUGAUAAUGAGUGUUUGCAGCCACCCACCAAUGAUCAGAAACCUACAAAUUCCUGAGAUUUCCCUGCCCCUGCAUCCAGAGUGAAUGCUUUAUGGUCAUUCAGGCCUGCAGUUGAGUUGAGUGCAUGUAGAAUGGAGAGUAAAAGUGGCAAUUAACAAGUUUAAACCUUUUGUGGAAAGGUUAAUGUCCUAUAUAUAUUUUUU
RNAcentral lists this small RNA (766 nucleotides) under Pan troglodytes (chimpanzee). Its description in RNAcentral is "processed transcript". Lineage: Eukaryota; Metazoa; Chordata; Mammalia; Primates; Hominidae. The record is from RNAcentral.